UGAUGAAGUCUGCAGUAGCCAAAAUAUUUAGACGAUUUACCGCGGCAUGUCUGCAAAUCCCAACGAGAAGUGACGUACGAGCGCAUAUUCGUGGACGUUUUUAGGCGCCUCAGACGUCUCAUCCGCCGGUUCGUCUCCAGCAACGAUUCAGUUUCUAUCAGUUGAAUUUGCCAGAUUACGAUGUCACGUACUUAUCAUAUUAUCACUACCAAUUGACAAGAACAAGAUCAACUUGAUUGAGAAUUCGAAUAUCGGAUCUGGCGGAUUCAAGAUGAAUUCUCGGAAGAGAAGAAAAGGAAGGAGGAGAUAAAAGACGUAAACGCUUCUCCGAGAAAGCAUUUCUGGAACUUCUUGCGAAAAUUCAUGGGAAAGAUAUAAAAGCUUCGUUCAAAGUGAUUCAUACUCUUAAAAGCGUUGAAAACUUCCUCCACCCACUAUCCACAAACUAGUUUGAAUUAGACGAAAGCGAGUUUUUUUAAAUAGCUUUAUCAUUACACAUGCUUUCCGUUCAUUACGUAUGUUGAACUUGUAUGAAAGUAUUCUUAAAUAUAAUAUACAAAGCAUCACUAAAGCUGUUAUGGGCUAUUAUUUCUAAAACUAAUCGAAGUAUGAAAUUUUUAUUUUUCUAUCAAUUAUUUGGUAUUGAAAAUAACAUCAUAUGAUAAAGUUAGAUUCUUUUUUAAGUAAAGUGACUGCGACGAUCUGAAGUUCACCUCGUUUUUUGAAUGAAAUUUUGUUUUCAAAGCGUACUUGCUCCAAUUAUUCUGCAUAUAAAAAUAUUAAGGUAGAAAUAUCUAUCAAAAAAUCAAUAAUUUACAUAAUAUUUUAUACUUUAUUUUGACAUAAAAUAUAAAAUAUUUCAUAUUUUAUAUUUAUAGUUUUUUUGAUACUCUUACUUUAGUUCUUUUAUGCACGGAAUUAAAGAGAUGAAUCAAUUGGUGUAAAAAAAAACAUGCAGUUGUUUUUGUAAAAAAACAUGCUUUCAAUACAGUGAUUCACCUUAUGUACAUAAAUAUAAAAAAAUGUGAGGUUUUGUGCAAAAAUGAAGUAAUAAACAAUAAAUAAUAAUAAAUAAAAAAAAGUAAACGAGGAUAAAUGAAUGGAUAUCUAACAUAAAAGAUUGUGUUAGACUAGAUAGAAAUAAAGAGAAAAAAAACUGUAUAUAUGACGAUAUACAUUUGGUAGAUUUUAGUUAAUCAAAUAAUUAUAGGAUGGAUGCAAGUGUACGUAAGUAGACUUAUAAACUUAAUCCCUUCUUCAUAUAUACACUAAAAUAAAUUAUUCUACAUA
Solenopsis invicta (red fire ant) is the source of this 1290-nucleotide long non-coding RNA. RefSeq lists it as uncharacterized. NCBI's taxonomy places the organism in Eukaryota, Metazoa, Arthropoda, Insecta, Hymenoptera, Formicidae. The record is from RefSeq and is a predicted model, not a curated record. The transcript has 2 exons.